RNAcentral lists this ribosomal RNA (497 nucleotides) under uncultured bacterium. Its description in RNAcentral is "partial 16S ribosomal RNA". It matches the Rfam family "Bacterial small subunit ribosomal RNA", at positions 28 to 507 of the family's 1533-position model. The record is from RNAcentral.
GAUGAACGCUGGCGGCGUGCCUAAUACAUGCAAGUCGAGCGAACAGACGAGGAGCUUGCUCCUCUGACGUUAGCGGCGGACGGGUGAGUAACACGUGGAUAACCUACCUAUAAGACUGGGAUAACUUCGGGAAACCGGAGCUAAUACCGGAUAAUAUAUUGAACCGCAUGGUUCAAUAGUGAAAGACGGUUUUGCUGUCACUUAUAGCUGGAUCCGCGCCGCAUUAGCUAGUUGGUAAGGUAACGGCUUACCAAGGCAACGAUGCGUAGCCGACCUGAGAGGGUGAUCGGCCACACUGGAACUGAAACACGGUCCAGACUCCUACGGGAGGCAGCAGUAGGGAAUCUUCCGCAAUGGGCGAAAGCUUGACGGAGCAACGCCGCGUGAGUGAUGAAGGUCUUCGGAUCGUAAAACUCUGUUAUUAGGGAAGAACAAAUGUGUAAGUAACUAUGCACGUCUUGACGGUACCUAAUCAGAAAGCCACGGCUAACUACGUG